Molecule: non-coding RNA, 54 nt
Organism: Salmo salar (Atlantic salmon)
Lineage: Eukaryota; Metazoa; Chordata; Actinopteri; Salmoniformes; Salmonidae
Source: Rfam
UGCAUUCAUUACUGUAAGUCGCUCUGGAUAAGAGCGUCUGCUAAAUGCAAAUGU